Molecule: unclassified non-coding RNA, 726 nt
Filed under: Hevea brasiliensis (rubber tree)
Lineage: Eukaryota; Viridiplantae; Streptophyta; Magnoliopsida; Malpighiales; Euphorbiaceae
Source: RNAcentral
GGCAGGAAGGGCCAAGGGGGAGGGGGAAACAAACACAAUCAGAAUAUGUUUCAUUGCCAACAUACUGAAUCUUUUUUUCCAUUACAUAUAUCAUAAUUAUGAAUUACAAAGAAGAGAUAUUCAUCACAUGCACAUUAUGUUUGAAGGAUAAUAUCAAAAUCCAAGUUGCAUGAUACACCUAUGUAAAAUAUAAUCACAUUUUGCUAGCAUGUUUACCAAAUAAUGAAUGCCGACCUUCAGCUAUCAACUCCCCUGUUGCUUUGUUUUUCACAAGAACAAUUGUUCCAGCAUAGCCUCCUUUUCGUCCCAAAACCUUUGAAGUGACCUCUAACUCAUCAUUGAGCUUUGCACUGGAAAGAAACGAAAUAGACAUAUCCACCGAGACAUUCAUAGGGAGACCCUCAACAUACACCACAGCACCACCUACUUCAUCUACCAGGUUCGCUAUUGCACCCGUAGCUAACUUACCGCUUCUGUCGGUGAGGCGAGCAGGGACCUUGAAAGUGCAAGAGACGAUGCCGGGCUCGACCCGGUCUACUCGGAUGCCUCUUAAGGCGAAGUCUUCGUAGAAGCUGUAAUCGAGGCCGAGUCGGUGAGGUUGGAAAGUGAGUUGCGAGAUGCUUGCCAAUUCUUCUUCGCUUAGUUUGAGAAACUGCUUCGCCUUCUCCAUCAAGGCUGUACGAUUCCGCUUUCCAGGCUCGGCUUGCAGAUUUGGGAGACUUUUUC